This 447-nucleotide ribosomal RNA is filed under the name uncultured bacterium. RNAcentral describes it as "bacterial SSU rRNA". It matches the Rfam family "Bacterial small subunit ribosomal RNA", at positions 355 to 825 of the family's 1533-position model. The record is from RNAcentral.
UCGGGAAUUUUGGGCAAUGGGCGAAAGCCUGACCCAGCAACGCCGCGUGAAGGGUGAAGUAUUUCGGUAUGUAAACUUCGAAAGAAUAGGAAGAAUAAAUGACGGUACUAUUUAUAAGGUCCGGCUAACUACGUGCCAGCAGCCGCGGUAAUACGUAGGGACCAAGCGUUGUUCGGAUUUACUGGGCGUAAAGGGCGCGUAGGCGGCAAUUCAAGUCAUCUGUGAAAUCUCCGGGCUUAACUCGGAACGGUCAGAUGAUACUGCUUUGCUAGAGUGCAGAAGGGGCAAUCGGAAUUCUUGGUGUAGCGGUGAAAUGCGUAGAUAUCAAGAGGAACACCUGAGGUGAAGACGGGUUGCUGGGCUGACACUGACGCUGAGGCGCGAAAGCCAGGGGAGCAAACGGGAUUAGAUACCCGCGUAGUCCCUGAGCGGGCUGGCAAGGCGCAU